AUAAUCAGUUGGCUUAUAAUUGAAGUCUAGUAUGAAUGGGACCACGGGGAUAAUCUGUCUUUAAUUUUAGUAUAUGAACUUACUUAUUAAGUGAAAAUUCUUACUUUUAGAAAAAAGACGAGAAGACCCUAGAAAUUUUUUAAUUAAUAUUUUGUUGGGGCGACAGGGUAACAUAAAACUUACCUACCAAAUAGGAAACUUUUAAGUUGUGUAAAAAAAUUACUCUAGGGAUAACAGCAUAAUAUUUUAAAGAUUGUGACCUCGAUGUUGGACUAGGAAAUACAUUACUUAAAAGGUAAUUUAUAUGGUUCUGUUCGAACAUUUACUCUCCUACAUGAUC
Molecule: ribosomal RNA, 340 nt
Filed under: Monacha parumcincta
Lineage: Eukaryota; Metazoa; Mollusca; Gastropoda; Stylommatophora; Hygromiidae
Description: partial 16S ribosomal RNA
Source: RNAcentral